Molecule: long non-coding RNA, 1073 nt
Organism: Salarias fasciatus (jewelled blenny)
Lineage: Eukaryota; Metazoa; Chordata; Actinopteri; Blenniiformes; Blenniidae
Exons: 6
Source: RefSeq, a predicted model, not a curated record
AGCUCUGCAGCAGCAGUCCUCGACGCAGAGCAGAGUGUUUUUAUCUGCUGAUAUCUGCUCAAAUAAUGUCCCAACACCUCCAUGAUACGCUGCGCACCGCUGCGUUAUCCGCAAAAUGGGCUAUGUUUACUUUUAUCACAGUAGAGUUUGAAAAAAAUAGCUGAAUUAUGACCAUCUAAUUUACAUCAGAAGCAUGCUGCCCUCUCUUGCUCUCAGUCUGAUGUAUAUUUAAUCAGGUAAUGUCUGUGUCAUUGCUUCACAUCUUGUGUUUUAUAUAGACAACUACAACGAUCUUUGUCAAAAGAGAGAAGCAUUCAUCUUGGGGGAAGACAUAUGGAAAAAAAAUGAAGAUCAAGGAGAGGGGCAAAAAAGAAAACGUAAACCAAAAAGGUGGAUUGAAGAUGAUACAGAAGCAUCAAAACAGCCACAAGCAAAAAAGGUCUGUCGCGCUAAAGAGGCUGCAGAUCAAAUGAUUGAGGAAUUAAAAAGAGAUCUUAUGGAACAAGGAGUUGAGUCACCCGCUGACUUGUCAGAUGAAGACCAGCCACGGAACUGGAGCAGGGCGAUGCUCCAAAUUAAGCAAUUAAGAGCAGAGAACAAAAGGAUCCAAGCUGACAAUACAAAACAAAUUGUCGAGGCUCUAAGAGAGCUUCCAAAAGUUGUACAACAGUUGAAGGACAUCAGUGAGCAGUUGUCAUCCAUAUGCUGUCCCUCAAAAGCCAGUACAACAACUCAACACUUGUCAGUUCUUCCAUCUGCCGCUCAAGUGGAGUCUGAUGACAUGGUCUCUCUCCUGCCUAAUUCAUCUGUGCAAGUAAGCAGGAAGAAGUUCAACACACUGCGGACCAGCAACGCAUCCAUUUAUAUUGGAGACCUGGCAGUACUGGUGUUUGGGAGGGAAACACUGGCUCACUCAAGCUUAACAGGAAGGCAGUCUGGAGCACACAAGGAAGUGGAGUCCAAACCACAACUUGAUUGUCAAAAGGUUGAAGCCAUCAUUGACCAUGCCUUGUCCAAAUAUCCAAAUAUGAAUGUUCAAGAUGUCAGACGUAUUCUCCGAAAGAAAUGCAACA